Molecule: transfer RNA, 69 nt
Filed under: Epicrionops cf. marmoratus UMMZ 190478
Lineage: Eukaryota; Metazoa; Chordata; Amphibia; Gymnophiona; Rhinatrematidae
Description: tRNA-Ile
Rfam family: tRNA
About the family: Transfer RNA (tRNA) molecules are approximately 80 nucleotides in length.
Source: RNAcentral
GAUAUGUGCCUGAAAGACAAGGACCACUUUGAUAGAGUGUACUAUAGAGGUUCAAACCCUCUCACAUCC